GCCUCUAUCCGAUUUACACUUAGUGCAAAUAGCUGCUGCCUAAUUUUAAAUGUUUAAAUGCAUAAAUAAAAAAGAAAAUGUAUGUGAUUUAUUACAAUAUCUUUUUCUUUUUUUUUGGACAGGGUUUGAUGUACCAUUGCAUUCUUUAACUGGACAAAACACAGCAACAAUGACCACCUUUGGUGCUGAACAAUCAGAAGCUCCUGCAUUUAAACCAGAUGACAUGUAUGAAAAGUUAACACUGUGAAACGAAUAUUGGCAUUUUUAAACUUUUGUGAUGUCAAAGUCUUUUUUAAAAAUCAGCAGUUAGUAAUUACAUGACAUCUCUCACAAAUUUUAAUAAAGGGGAACAUCUUUUAUACUCA
Molecule: long non-coding RNA, 365 nt
Organism: Cyprinus carpio (common carp)
Lineage: Eukaryota; Metazoa; Chordata; Actinopteri; Cypriniformes; Cyprinidae
Exons: 2
Source: RefSeq, a predicted model, not a curated record